GCCUGGCUGACUCAGUCAUUAGAGCGCAAGACUCCUGAUUUUGGGGUCGUGAGUUUGAGCUCACGUUGGGUG
RNAcentral lists this transfer RNA (72 nucleotides) under Felis catus (domestic cat). It matches the Rfam family "tRNA". Rfam says of the family: Transfer RNA (tRNA) molecules are approximately 80 nucleotides in length. Their secondary structure includes four short double-helical elements and three loops (D, anti-codon, and T loops). The record is from Rfam by way of RNAcentral. RNAcentral also lists the same sequence under 2 other names. Lineage: Eukaryota; Metazoa; Chordata; Mammalia; Carnivora; Felidae.